GAUGAACGCUGGCGGCGUGCUUAACACAUGCAAGUCGAACGGAAAGGCCCAAGCUUGCUUGGGUCCUCGAGUGGCGAACGGGUGAGUAACACGUGGGUGAUCUGCCCUGCACUUCGGGAUAAGCCUGGGAAACUGGGUCUAAUACCGGAUAGGACCACAUUUUGGAUGGUGUGGUGGAAAGUUUUUCGGUGUGGGAUGAGCUCGCGGCCUAUCAGCUUGUUGGUGGGGUAAUGGCCUACCAAGGCGUCGACGGGUAGCCGGCCUGAGAGGGUGUACGGCCACAUUGGGCCUGAGCUACGGCCCAGACUCCUACGGGAGGCAGCAGUGGGGAAUAUUGCACAAUGGGCGCAAGCCUGAUGCAGCGACGCCGCGUGGGGGAUGACGGCCUUCGGGUUGUAAACUCCUUUCGCUAGGGACGAAGCGUUUUUGUGACGGUACCUGGAGAAGAAGCACCGGCUAACUACGUG
Molecule: ribosomal RNA, 467 nt
Filed under: uncultured bacterium
Lineage: Bacteria
Description: partial 16S ribosomal RNA
Rfam family: Bacterial small subunit ribosomal RNA
Source: RNAcentral